Molecule: ribosomal RNA, 498 nt
Filed under: uncultured bacterium
Lineage: Bacteria
Description: partial 16S ribosomal RNA
Rfam family: Bacterial small subunit ribosomal RNA
Source: RNAcentral
AUUGAACGCUGGCGGCAUGCUUUACACAUGCAAGUCGAACGGCAGCGCGGGGCAACCUGGCGGCGAGUGGCGAACGGGUGAGUAAUAUAUCGGAACGUACCCAGAAGUGGGGGAUAACGUAGCGAAAGUUACGCUAAUACCGCAUACGAUCUACGGAUGAAAGUGGGGGACCUUCGGGCCUCAUGCUUGUGGAGCGGCCGAUAUCUGAUUAGCUAGUUGGUAGGGUAAAGGCUUACCAAGGCGACGAUCAGUAGCUGGUCUGAGAGGACGACCAGCCACACUGGGACUGAGACACGGCCCAGACUCCUACGGGAGGCAGCAGUGGGGAAUUUUGGACAAUGGGCGCAAGCCUGAUCCAGCAAUGCCGCGUGAGUGAAGAAGGCCUUCGGGUUGUAAAGCUCUUUUGUCAGGGAAGAAACGGUGCGGACUAAUAUUCUGCGCUAAUGACGGUACCUGAAGAAUAAGCACCGGCUAACUCUGUGCCAGCAGCCGCCGUAA